UUAUGAAGUCCAACACCCCCUCAAGUUGGAGGGUAGGAAGAGACCCCUAACUUGCUGAGAAGAUUAUGAUGAAGAGGACCAGUCAGGGUCUUUGUAAAUAGAUAUGUAAGCUGAGAAGAAGAGCAGACAAAAAAAGAGAACUGAGUCCAGCAAUGUACUGUUGACGGAUAAAGUAACAGUCGAUUUCGACGUGCUUUUUCCAUUCAUGAAAUAUCAGGUUCUUAGCAAUAUGAAUGGAAGUAAGGCUAUCAGAAUGAAGAGACACUGGCAAACAAAUCAGAACAUAAAGAUCUUCGAAUAAAUGUACCAAUCAUGUACCUCAAUUGGAAUCAUAGUAAGCAGCAACUAGAAAGAUGGAGAACUUGAUAUAAAGAGAUCAAGACCACGACUCUUCAAUAGAUACUAAAGAACUCGCAAAGUUGCAGUGAAAUGAGGGAUUCUAGAAUCCUACAAAUAUCGACUGAGAUGCAAAAUAGUAAAUGAAAUAUCAGGCCUCUCACGAGUCAGAUAAUCUAGCUUACUCAAUAAAUGUUAAAGGUGCAAGGUAUCAAAACAGAUCCAAAAUAAACUUACAUUGAGAGAGGAUCAGACUAUGAGGUUCUCGAAUGAAUUCCAA
Solanum dulcamara is the source of this 616-nucleotide long non-coding RNA. RefSeq lists it as uncharacterized. The transcript is spliced from 3 exons. The record is from RefSeq and is a predicted model, not a curated record. Lineage: Eukaryota; Viridiplantae; Streptophyta; Magnoliopsida; Solanales; Solanaceae.